Molecule: ribosomal RNA, 253 nt
Filed under: uncultured bacterium
Lineage: Bacteria
Description: partial 16S ribosomal RNA
Rfam family: Bacterial small subunit ribosomal RNA
Source: RNAcentral
UACAGAGGUCUCAAGCGUUGUUCGGAUUCAUUGGGCGUAAAGGGUGCGUAGGUGGCGCGGUAAGUCGGGUGUGAAAUUUCGGAGCUUAACUCCGAAACUGCAUUCGAUACUGCCGUGCUUGAGGACUGGAGAGGAGACUGGAAUUUACGGUGUAGCAGUGAAAUGCGUAGAUAUCGUAAGGAAGACCAGUGGCGAAGGCGGGUCUCUGGACAGUAACUGACGCUGAGGAGCGAAAGCGUGGGGAGCGAACAGG